This 89-nucleotide transfer RNA is filed under the name Toxarium undulatum. Its description in RNAcentral is "tRNA-Ser". It matches the Rfam family "tRNA". From Rfam's summary of the family: Transfer RNA (tRNA) molecules are approximately 80 nucleotides in length. Their secondary structure includes four short double-helical elements and three loops (D, anti-codon, and T loops). Further hydrogen bonds mediate the characteristic L-shaped molecular structure. tRNAs have two regions of fundamental functional importance: the anti-codon, which is responsible for specific mRNA codon recognition, and the 3' end, to which the tRNAs corresponding amino acid is attached (by aminoacyl-tRNA synthetases). tRNAs cope with the degeneracy of the genetic code in two manners: having more than one tRNA (with a specific anti-codon) for a particular amino acid; and 'wobble' base-pairing, i.e. permitting non-standard base-pairing at the 3rd anti-codon position. Lineage: Eukaryota; Bacillariophyta; Thalassiosirophyceae; Ardissoneales; Ardissoneaceae. The record is from RNAcentral.
UGGAAUGGUGACUGAGUGGUUUAAAGUGAAGGUUUGCUAAAUCUUUGUAUGUAAAAACAUACCGUGGGUUCAAAUCCCACCUGUUCCAA